Molecule: ribosomal RNA, 440 nt
Filed under: uncultured bacterium
Lineage: Bacteria
Description: partial 16S ribosomal RNA
Rfam family: Bacterial small subunit ribosomal RNA
Source: RNAcentral
CCUACGGGUGGCAGCAGUGGGGAAUAUUGCACAAUGGGGGAAACCCUGAUGCAGCGACGCCGCGUGAGUGAAGAAGUAAUUCGGUAUGUAAAGCUCUAUCAGCAGGGAAGAAACAGACGGUACGUGAGUAAGAAGCUCCGGCUAACUACGUGCCAGCAGCCGCGGUAAUACGGGGGGUGCAAGCGUUGUCCGGAUUCAUUGGGCGUAAAGGGUUCGUAGGUGGCACGUUAAGUCUGGUGUGAAAGGCGGAAGCUCAACUUCCGUAGGGCACUGGAUACUGGCGGGCUUGAGUACGGUAGAGGUAAGGGGAAUUCCUGGUGUAGCGGUGAAAUGCGUAGAUAUCAGGAGGAACAUCGGUGGCGAAGGCGCUUUACUGGACCGUAAUUGACACUGAGGAACGAAAGCCGGGGUAGCAAAUAGGAUUAGAUACCCUGGUAGUC